CUUACAGUCCGUCUCAGCUCAACUUGGACACAUGCCGUCUUUUCUUCAUCCUCCUCUUCUUGAAAGGCUUGUUUAUUCAGCUGGAAAAUAGACGUUUUUCAGCAGAUUUUCUCUAUUCAGAAAUAGACUAAAGCUUCUGCUGGAGUCUGGCAUUAUCCCAGAGAAUGGAGACCCACGGGCCUUCAGCAGUGCACCGCCCUCAGGGAAGUCAUCCAGUUUGGGCAUCCUGACUCGGUUCUCCCACAGUGUCCUUCUCAUCUGCUGUAGCCGAGGUCAGGGAGAAGGCCCUGGGUGGUGUCUGGGCUGAGAGGGUCAAUUGUGCCACCUGCUUCAGACGCCCCAUGGGCUGGCGACUCUUCUGGUCUUUAGUGCUGACACCCACAGGCCUGGCUCACAGUGGGUGCUGGGUCAGGGCUGGUGGAGAACAAUAGUGCUGAGCCAGGACCCGCCCAUGUGUUAGAGAAAGGCAGCAGCUUGGAAACCUGUAGGUGGGUCUUCCAUCCACUAAGUCACCAAGAACUAGGAGCCUGCAGCCAGUUGAGAGGAUUCUUGAGGUGCUCUGCCCCCAGCUGGGGCCCUGAGCCCCCACGAGCCUUCCGCCUGGGGCAUCUGAUGACUCACGUGCACCACAGCACAGCAGCCCAGUGGGCUGGGAGUUGGGAGCUGGAAGAUGAAAGCCACCCACUCUUAUCUGCCUCCGAGGAGUCGCAAUCAAGAGGGAGGAUGCCCCCAUAAGAAAUGCAGAUUCUGUGACCUUCAGAGGCAGCUGGAGAAAGAAAAGAUGGAGGAGAUCACGGCCCAGCAAUUCCAGCCUGGGGCGGGCGCGGGCUCAAUGAUAUCCUUCAGGUCCUAAUCCCCGAGUGUGGCUGUGUGUGACCCGAGUCCCUUCUGCCUGCCAGGAGUGAGGCCACCUGAGGUCGCAGAAAGGACUGGGGAGGAGACAGGCGCAGGGUGAUCCGGAUCCCAUAUUUAAUUGAUGGCUGGCGAAGUACAGUGUUCUCCAGAAAUCCAGUGGUCUGCACCAUCAGUGUCCUGGGCUCGCUGCCUCUGGAGACUCCCACGCCCCCAGCCAAAGCCGGAACCCUCCCCUGAAGCCUCUGCCAUGGCCUGUCCUGCCUUGGGGAGGUGGAGACCCUCGGCGUGCUGGUGUCCCACCUCACUGUGCCUCUCAGCUUCUUUGUUUCUGCCCAAAAUACAGGCUCCUGAGUAGCCUCCUGUGGGUGUCCUGGGACUGUCACCUGCCCUCUUUCAGCCAGGUGGGCUCAAACGUCAGGGGCACCAUCUCUGGUCCAGAUUGGGGUCUCUCUCGGUUCAUUUAUCCAGGAUCUUUUGGCAAAAAGAGAAAGACCAAGGAUUAUCCCCUUUCAGGAGAGCUCAGCCUGCUUUUUCGGGCUCUUCAAGGCCCAUCCAUUCAUGCACGGAGAAAUAACACGAAUGCUGGUGUGGAAAUGAUGCCCGGAUACCUUUCCAAAGGCUCCAUAGCCCACUCUUCCAGUAUCCAUCCUGGUCAUGCAGGCGCUGACCCACAUGUUUCUGGAUUAGGAAGGAAAGCAAAGGCCAGGAGGCGGAGGCUGACCCCUUUAUCUUCUGAUAAACCCGAGAGCAGAACAGCCUCAACAAGGACGAUUACAGCAGGGAAAUGGCAUUCCUGGCCAGUGGACAAGCACCUCCUUUAACCUACAGCUCAGAGCCUCACUUUGACUUGCCUCCUGUGGGGUGCUGGUCAGUAGGGGCUGAAUUCUGGGGUGCUAGGCAUCCCUCCACCAUGCAGGCCCCACAAAAGCAGCCGAGGAGGGAGAGUGCUAGGAAGCAGACAGCCACACAGACCACUGGGCUCCAUCAGGCCUCUCACUGCAGGAAGCACAGGCCAGCAAGGCCAGAGUUAAUUUCUCAGAAUAAUUGCUAAUAAUACAAAUCAACCUUUCUGGGCACUGAGUACACACCAGGCCCUGUGCUAAGCGCUUCUAACCUAAGCGUCACCUCAUUGCCUGCUAAUACCCUCUCUAGGAAAUAGGGACUACUAUAAGUCCUGCCCACAGACAUGAAAACCACAGCUGUGGGUUGACCCUCUCUGCGUCUGUAUCUAAUACUGCACCUGUUUUCUAUGAAAUCAGGACAAUAUGAUUCAUAGGGCAAAAUGAUUAUUUGUUACACAUGGAGAAAAACAAAAGCUCAAAGUAUGUUUUCUGAAGGAGAAACAAAAUCCAGACAUUUUCCAAGCUUCAAGUGUGAAUAUACUUACAUGGAUGAAAGAUUUAAAGAAUAACAAUAAAAAACCCUUAAUGGUAAAAA
RNAcentral lists this long non-coding RNA (2292 nucleotides) under Homo sapiens (human). RNAcentral's name for it is "HSALNT0360619". The record is from RNAcentral. Lineage: Eukaryota; Metazoa; Chordata; Mammalia; Primates; Hominidae.